RNAcentral lists this ribosomal RNA (305 nucleotides) under uncultured bacterium. RNAcentral describes it as "bacterial SSU rRNA". It matches the Rfam family "Bacterial small subunit ribosomal RNA", at positions 334 to 637 of the family's 1533-position model. The record is from RNAcentral.
CGGGCCUACGGGACGCAGCAGUGAGGAAUAUUGGUCAAUGGACGCAAGUCUGAACCAGCCAUGCCGCGUGCAGGAAGACGGCUCUAUGAGUUGUAAACUGCUUUUGUACGAGGGUAAACUCGGAUACGUGUAUCCGUUUGAAAGUAUCGUACGAAUAAGGAUCGGCUAACUCCGUGCCAGCAGCCGCGGUAAUACGGAGGAUUCAAGCGUUAUCCGGAUUUAUUGGGUUUAAAGGGUGCGUAGGCGGAAUGCCAAGUCAGCGGUAAAAUCGCGGGGCUCAACCUCGCUCCGCCGUUGAAACUGGC